This 452-nucleotide ribosomal RNA is filed under the name uncultured bacterium. Its description in RNAcentral is "bacterial SSU rRNA". It matches the Rfam family "Bacterial small subunit ribosomal RNA", at positions 329 to 795 of the family's 1533-position model. The record is from RNAcentral.
UGCCAGACUCCUACGGGAGGCAGCAGUGGGGAAUAUUGCACAAUGGGCGAAAGCCUGAUGCAGCAACGCCGCGUGAAGGAAGAAGGGUUUCGGCUCGUAAACUUCUAUCAACAGGGACGAAAGAAAUGACGGUACCUGAAUAAGAAGCCCCGGCUAACUACGUGCCAGCAGCCGCGGUAAUACGUAGGGGGCAAGCGUUAUCCGGAAUUACUGGGUGUAAAGGGUGAGUAGGCGGCAUGGUAAGCCAGAUGUGAAAGCCUUGGGCUUAACCCGAGGAUUGCAUUUGGAACUGUAUUUCUUGAGUGCUGGAGAGGCAAUCGGAAUUCCGUGUGUAGCGGUGAAAUGCGUAGAUAUACGGAGGAACACCAGUGGCGAAGGCGGAUUGCUGGACAGUAACUGACGCUGAGGCGCGAAAGCGUGGGGAGCAAACAGGAUUAGAUACCCCAGUAUAC